AGAGUUUGAUCCUGGCUCAGAAUCAACGCUGGCGGCGUGCCUAACACAUGCAAGUCGAACGAGAAAGUGGAGCAAUCCAUGAGUAAAGUGGCGACCGGGUGAGUAACACGUGACUAACCUACCUUUUAGUGGGGGAUAACCUCGGGAAACCGAGGCUAAUACCGCAUAACAUCGCAAGAUCAAAGCAGCAAUGCGCUGGAAGAGGGGGUCGCGGCUGAUUAGCUAGUUGGCGGGGUAAUGGCCCACCAAGGCGAAGAUCGGUAUCCGGCCUGAGAGGGCGCACGGACACACUGGAACUGAAACACGGUCCAGACUCCUACGGGAGGCAGCAGUGGGGAAUUUUGCGCAAUGGGGGAAACCCUGACGCAGCAACGCCGCGUGGAGGAUGAAGCCCCUUGGGGCGUAAACUCCUUUCGACCAAGACGAUAAUGACGGUACUGGUGGAAGAAGCACCGGCUAACUCUGUGCCAGCAGCCGCGGUAAUACAGAGGGUGCGAGCGUUGUCCGGAAUUAUUGGGCGUAAAGGGCGCGUAGGCGGUGCCACAAGUCACCUGUGUAAUCCCCGGGCUUAACCCGGGGCCUGCAGGCGAAACUGUGGCGCUGGAGUAUGGGAGAGGUGCGUGGAAUCCCCGGUGUAGCGGUGAAAUGCGUAGAUAUCGGGAGGAACACCUGUGGCGAAAGCGGCGCACUGGACCAUAACUGACGCUGAGGCGCGAAAGCUAGGGGAGCAAACAGGAUUAGAUACCCUGGUAGUCCUAGCCCUAAACGAUGAUUGCUUGGUGUAGCAGUACCCAAUCCUGCUGUGCCGCAGCUAACGCGAUAAGC
Molecule: ribosomal RNA, 825 nt
Filed under: uncultured bacterium
Lineage: Bacteria
Description: bacterial SSU rRNA
Rfam family: Bacterial small subunit ribosomal RNA
Source: RNAcentral